GACGAACGCUGGCGGCGUGCUUAACACAUGCAAGUCGAACGGUGAUGCUCCAGCUUGCUGGAGUGGAUCAGUGGCGAACGGGUGAGUAACACGUGAGCAACCUGCCCCAGACUCUGGAAUAAGCGCUGGAAACGGCGUCUAAUACUGGAUACGAAACUGGCCCGCAUGGGCAUGGUUUGGAAAGUUUUGCGGUUUGGGAUGGGCUCGCGGCCUAUCAGCUUGUUGGUGAGGUAAUGGCUCACCAAGGCGACGACGGGUAGCCGGCCUGAGAGGGCGACCGGCCACACUGGGACUGAGACACGGCCCAGACUCCUACGGGAGGCAGCAGUGGGGAAUAUUGCACAAUGGGCGAAAGCCUGAUGCAGCGACGCCGCGUGAGGGAUGACGGCCUUCGGGUUGUAAACCUCUUUCAGCAGGGAAGAAGCGAAAGUGACGGUACCUGCAGAAGAAGCACCGGCUAACUACGUG
Molecule: ribosomal RNA, 468 nt
Filed under: uncultured bacterium
Lineage: Bacteria
Description: partial 16S ribosomal RNA
Rfam family: Bacterial small subunit ribosomal RNA
Source: RNAcentral